This 21-nucleotide microRNA is filed under the name Oryza sativa (Asian cultivated rice). RNAcentral describes it as "osa-miR1439". The record is from miRBase by way of RNAcentral. Lineage: Eukaryota; Viridiplantae; Streptophyta; Magnoliopsida; Poales; Poaceae. RNAcentral also lists the same sequence under 1 other name.
UUUUGGAACGGAGUGAGUAUU